Molecule: long non-coding RNA, 944 nt
Organism: Enhydra lutris kenyoni (northern sea otter)
Lineage: Eukaryota; Metazoa; Chordata; Mammalia; Carnivora; Mustelidae
Exons: 4
Source: RefSeq, a predicted model, not a curated record
AAACUCGGUUUUCGAACAUUUCGCUGCCCCAGGAGGGCAAUGGGCCCCUGUCCAAUUCAUCGCGACCUAACGAGCGGCCCCGGAGGUCCUGGCCCGCCCAUUCCAGAAGCUCUCUCUGCCUUGUAAAGCCGCCCACCUGGAGCCCAGAGGAGCAGGAACUCGGAGGAGAGCUUAUGCUCCUCGUGCCUGCAGUACCAGGGACGUGGACGCGCUGUCUUGGACCGUCUUACCACCCGCUUGGCCCUGAUGCCCACUCACGGGUGUCAUCCAGACAGUUGGCUGGGAUCUGGGGACUUCUUGUAACACCUGGGUUUUGUUUUCCUGACUUGACACCCGUGGACGAAGCAGCAGCCGUUUGCCUUCCUGCAGAAGAACUUGCCGUUACCCUGUGCUCUUGCGAGAGGCCCCAGCCCAGUGCGCAGAGCUAGUGAUUUUGCCAACUUCCUGGAUGUUCAUUUCUGGUUCUGCACAAAAGAGCCACAUUUCCUUUUGGAAUCGGGACCGGGAGACAGACAGCAGCAGGCACUGGAAAUUGUGAGUACUCCCCAGUCUUCCUCCAGCGAUGCUCUGACCCUGUCCGUCCAUCUGUCCUGCCUCCCAUGUCUUUCUCUGCCAGUUAACCUUCUGUGGGGCUCCACCACGAACCCCUCCUUCAGCCCGCAGCACCACGCUGACUGUUAGGAGAGGAGUCUCUGUGAUGUCUGUACGAACGUGGAUGGGAAAGGGGAGGGGGCAGAGCUCAGCCACGGCCGUGACUCCAGUUUUCAUUUUAAGGCUCCGAAAGAUGGCGAAAGUCAACGAAGCAAACUGGUUUAUUUCAGGGCGAACAGUGAGUCCCUACUGAAUUUACCUAAUAAAAUGAAUUUUAAAAUUUUCAUUUUCUCAUUCCAUUCCAGCAGAAAAUGAGUUUGCCUUUAUAAUGUCCAGAUCUUUCAAACUCUACU